RNAcentral lists this ribosomal RNA (512 nucleotides) under Candida albicans. RNAcentral's name for it is "eukaryotic LSU rRNA". The stretch from base 145 to 298 matches the Rfam family "5.8S ribosomal RNA". Lineage: Eukaryota; Fungi; Ascomycota; Pichiomycetes; Serinales; Debaryomycetaceae. The record is from RNAcentral.
GGGCUUUCUGAAUUGCUAUUGCACCACAUGUGUUUUUCUUUGAAACAAACUUGCUUUGGCGGUGGGCCCAGCCUGCCGCCAGAGGUCUAAACUUACAACCAAUUUUUUAUCAACUUGUCACACCAGAUUAUUACUAAUAGUCAAAACUUUCAACAACGGAUCUCUUGGUUCUCGCAUCGAUGAAGAACGCAGCGAAAUGCGAUACGUAAUAUGAAUUGCAGAUAUUCGUGAAUCAUCGAAUCUUUGAACGCACAUUGCGCCCUCUGGUAUUCCGGAGGGCAUGCCUGUUUGAGCGUCGUUUCUCCCUCAAACCGCUGGGUUUGGUGUUGAGCAAUACGACUUGGGUUUGCUUGAAAGACGGUAGUGGUAAGGCGGGAUCGCUUUGACAAUGGCUUAGGUCUAACCAAAAACAUUGCUUGCGGCGGUAACGUCUACCACGUAUAUCUUCAAACUUUGACCUCAAAUCAGGUAGGACUACCCGCUGAACUUAAGCAUAUCAAUAAGCGGAGGAA